UGGGAGUACAAUGUUAUCCUAAAUAAGAGGAAUGACCUCUGAAGCCACUACAUGUAGAAUAGUGAUGUGAUAAUAGUAUCUUCAAAGUUGUUUGUGGAUUGUUCUGUAAAAACAGUUUGCUUUGAGCCCAUUCCUUCUCAGUCUCAGAGUGUAAAACUACCACUUGAUUGUGCCAAGGUCAGAAAAGUCCUGAAUCUACACAUAGUGGCUGUGUUAACAAGCAUGGAGGUUUCAGUACUUGGAGGUAGAGCUGGUUCACGUGCCAGGACUGAGGCAGGGGCCCACCAAACUGGAAAACGUUUCCCAUACGGUUCCAGGCAAGAAACGCCGGGCCAGAGAAGAACUCUUCAAUCUCUGACUGGUUCAACCCAAGAGCUCGGUAAACCUAAAAAGAUCUUGUAAGGAACAUCAUCACUUUCAGCCUCAGCUCUUACCUCUUGCCACAGGGCUUCUUGGCCAGUGAAAGCCAGCGGCAGAUUGAUUCCAUUGAGUGCCAUCCAGUCGAUCUCUCUUUCCCAUCUCGUCCAGUCCCACCACACAGAGGAAUAGCUAAAAGUGCAGACGUUCUGAUCUGAAACCCAGGUGGAGGCACGGAUCUCUGCUUGUCUGGCUGACAUCUCUCAGUGGAUGUCCGCACAUCACUUAAAGCUCAACCUCAACAAGACCGAACUCCUUUUCCUUCCGGGAAAGGGCUCUGCCAUCCAAGACCUUACCAUCAACAUCGACACCUAGAUUGUUUCCCCCACUUGGACUGCAAGUAAUCUGGAUGUGACACUGGACGACCAACUGUCCUUCGGUGCCAACAUCGCUACUACAACCCGCUCUUGCAGACACACUCUGUACAACAUCAGGAGGAUACGUCCCCUACUGACUUAGAAGGCGACUGAGGUUCUUGUCCAGGCUCUGGUCAUCUCACUGACUACUGCAACU
Molecule: long non-coding RNA, 930 nt
Organism: Cottoperca gobio
Lineage: Eukaryota; Metazoa; Chordata; Actinopteri; Perciformes; Bovichtidae
Exons: 3
Source: RefSeq, a predicted model, not a curated record